UUAAUUGAAGAGUUUGAUCAUGGCUCAGAUUGAACGCUGGCGGCAGGCCUAACACAUGCAAGUCGAGCGGCAGCACAGAGGAACUUGUUCCUUGGGUGGCGAGCGGCGGACGGGUGAGUAAUGCCUGGGAAAUUGCCCGGUAGAGGGGGAUAACCAUUGGAAACGAUGGCUAAUACCGCAUAACCUCGUAAGAGCAAAGCAGGGGACCUUCGGGCCUUGCGCUACCGGAUAUGCCCAGGUGGGAUUAGCUAGUUGGUGAGGUAAGGGCUCACCAAGGCGACGACCCCUAGCUGGUCUGAGAGGAU
Molecule: ribosomal RNA, 305 nt
Rfam family: Bacterial small subunit ribosomal RNA